CCCCCCCCACGCCCGGGAACUACGAGCAAAGCUUAAAACUCAAAGGACUUGACGGUACCCCACAUCCACCUAGAGGAGCCUGUCCUUUAAUCGAUAAUCCCCGCUUAACCUCACCAUUUUUAGUUAAUUCAGCCUGUAUACCUCCGUCGUCAGCUUACCACGUGAGCGUAAUUUAGUAAGCUUAAUGUCUUCAUAUAUCAACACGUCAGGUCAAGGUGCAGCAAAUAAAAUGCGGAAGAGAUGGGCUACACUUUCUAAUUUAGAAAACACGAAAAACUAUCUAUGAAACCUAGUUAGAAGGCGGAUUUAGCAGUAAAAAGAAACUAGAGAGUUCUUUUUAAUUAGGCACUGGGGUGUGUACACACCGCCCGUCACCCUCUUCAAAGCCCCCUAUUAGUAAAUAACAAAUUCACGCACUUAAGAAGAGGUAAGUCGUAUCAAGGUAAGUAUACCGGAAGGUGUGC
This 464-nucleotide ribosomal RNA is filed under the name Phasmahyla guttata (spotted leaf frog). Its description in RNAcentral is "partial small subunit ribosomal RNA". It matches the Rfam family "Bacterial small subunit ribosomal RNA", at positions 875 to 1517 of the family's 1533-position model. Lineage: Eukaryota; Metazoa; Chordata; Amphibia; Anura; Hylidae. The record is from RNAcentral.